GACAGAGGUCCCGAGCGUUGUUCGGAUUCAUUGGGCGUAAAGGGUGUGUAGGAGGUCGGGUAAGUCAGGUGUGAAAUCUCAGAGCUUAACUCUGAAACUGCGCUUGAUACUGCUCGGCUAGAGGAUCGGAGGGGGUAACGGAAUUCAUGGUGUAGCAGUGAAAUGCGUAGAUAUCAUGAGGAACACCGGUGGCGAAAGCGGCGCACUGGACCAUAACUGACGCUGAGGCGCGAAAGCUAGGGGAGCAAACAGG
Molecule: ribosomal RNA, 253 nt
Filed under: uncultured prokaryote
Description: partial 16S ribosomal RNA
Rfam family: Bacterial small subunit ribosomal RNA
Source: RNAcentral